This 253-nucleotide ribosomal RNA is filed under the name uncultured bacterium. RNAcentral's name for it is "partial 16S ribosomal RNA". It matches the Rfam family "Bacterial small subunit ribosomal RNA", at positions 524 to 776 of the family's 1533-position model. The record is from RNAcentral.
UACGAAGGGGGCUAGCGUUGCUCGGAAUCACUGGGCGUAAAGGGCGCGUAGGCGGCCAUUUAAGUCGGGGGUGAAAGCCUGUGGCUCAACCACAGAAUUGCCUUCGAUACUGGAUGGCUUGAGACCGGAAGAGGUAAGUGGAACUGCGAGUGUAGAGGUGAAAUUCGUAGAUAUUCGCAAGAACACCAGUGGCGAAGGCGACUUACUGGACACAUAUUGACGCUGAGGUGCGAAAGCGUGGGGAGCAAACAGG